GUCACAGCACUUUACAAGGGAGCUGGGGCGGUGUGGACUGAAUCCGAUAUGGCAUGCAGCAGUGGCGGCUUAACACUGCUGUGCGCGACAUUGGCCCUGAUGCAGGCGUCUUAAGUGCAGGCCUCACCUCUGGGCUUAAAUAGGCACAUCCUGUCCCUAAAAUAGUUGACUUAAAAAAACCAACCGAACCGAACCGAACGCAACUUCUCGGACUUGUCCCCCUCUCUACUCUUGAUCUAGAACUCCUCCUAGUGCUGCUCAAUAGCCAAACAUCACAGCUGGAAUUCACGCUCUGUUUACCUUCACUGGGAGAUGCAGCCUAAAGUGCAAUGAAAUCCCCUUCUCAACAUGGAUUUCUAGAGUUCUUUGUGGACUAAGAUUGUGCUCCAGUCACGGCCGGAAACAAGAUUGUGAAGCUCUAUUUUUCCCGUAUGUGUAGAAGCAAGACCUUUUAUUCCCAUGGGUCGCGAAGUAGCGAGAAAAAACGAAGAGUUCCUUAAGCACUGAUUAUUCUGUUUUUAGUCAACUCAUUAUUUCCCCCGAGGGGGUGCACCGCGCCCGGAGGUACUGCAAUACCGGGUCGAUGCGCGGAGUGGACGGAGCAAGCUCCUAUUCCAACUCCCGGCUCCAAAAAUCCAUUUAAUAUAUUGUCCUCGGAUAGAGGACGUAUCAGAUAUUAAACUGAUAAGAACAGAUACUACACUUGAUCUUAGCCAAAAGGCCGAGAAGCGAUGCCGGGCCCCUGCGCGCGCGCCGCCGCCCGCCCCCGCCGCGCACCUUUCACGCGCGGUGACUCCCGCCCCGCCCCGCCCCGCCCCCGCCGCUCCUCGGGCCCGCGCGCGCCCCGCAGGCCACGCCGCCCUAUCGCCCUCAUCGUCCACGCGGGCGAUUCCUCGCCCGCGCUCGGGACCGGCCCCUCUCCCCCCUCCUCCUUUCUCCUCCCCCGCCCCACCGCCGCGGCCGCACUCAUCUGCAUGUCACGCCCCCGCCGUCCUCAUCUGCAUGCACCCGCCCCGCCCCGCCCCAGGGACCGCGCGCCGCUCCGCGGAAACAUGGCCACGUGGCUCGGCCUUGUGGGCUGCGAGGCCUCCGCACGGAGUUCCCGGGUUCUCCCGCGAGGGCCCGAGAGAGCCGGCGGUUCCGCCGCGUGCUCGUGACUCCCGGCUGGGGCGGGACCCGCACCGCGGGGGACCGGCCGCCGCACCGACUGCCGCUGUGGGAGGGGCCUUGCCUUUCACUGGAGCUCGUUUGCAGCUGACACACUUCAACUAGCGUGGAGAGCGUCCCGAGGACGAGGACCGACGAAAAGGGCGGCCCCUGCGCUGGGCAGGCCGUGCGGGGCUCUGCUCGCCCGGGAGCUCGCUGCCUGGCACCGAGGUGGCGUUACCCCGCGCAGACAGCCGAGGGCUCCGCGCGCGUGUGGGAAACAGGCUUCCUCAGGACAGCUGUGUGUCCAGGCCUGUCGCUGCCUCGCGACAUUCCAUGUCCAGGAGAAGCUAAAACCACCGACAAGAGAGAGCCCCCGCUGAGCCACUAACUUCACUGUGCUAAUUCUUUUUGGACCAUAGCUAGUAACACAGUUUUUAAUGCACGGGCCUAGAAGCAGGGCUAGGAAUGUUAGAAUUACAGGGCCAGCCGGUGCCACUAGUAGAGUAGUAAGCCAUGGCAAGCUGGCAAACCAACCCUGGAACCAUCCGUAGGAUCGUUUCUGUUUUUGUUUUUGUUUUUGACAGGUAGAGUUUUAGACACACAGAGAGAAAGGUCUUCCUUCUGUUGGUUCACUCCCCAAAUGUCCACCAUGGCCGGUGCUGUGCCGAUCCAAAGCCAGAGCCAGGUGCUUCCUCCUGGUCUCCCAUGCGGGUGCAGGGGCCCAGGCACUUGGGCCAUCCUCCACUGCCCUCCCGGGCCACAGCAGAGAGCUGGGCUGGAAGAGGAGCAACGGGGACUAGGGGAGUAGGGGACUAGAACCUGGCACCGUCAUGGGGUGCCGGCGCCGCAGGCGGAGGAUUAACCAAGUGAGCCGCGGCGCCGGCCCGCAUCCACAGGGUUCUUGUCUAGUUGUGUGACCAGAGAAGCAAAGGGUCCUUGUCUUCGUGCAAGAAAGAAUUCAGGCGUGAGGCAGCAGGGGAAAGCAACAUAGCAAGGUUUAUUAGGGUAGGGACACGCGUAAGAACGGAUGGGCACCCCUCCAGGCAGGAUCCGAGAGAGAGUGCGUAGUUCAUGUGCAGGCUGGGGUUCCUAAGGGGAUGGGUCUUGCCUUCCCGCCUUUCCCCUCCCCCUCUCCUUCUCCUUCUCCUUCUCCUUCUCCUUCUCCUUCUCCUUCUCCCGAACAAAGGACUUGUUGGGUUAAAUACGAAGAAUUCCUGUCUGACUUUUUCUCCCUGAACUUACCAGGGAGAUGCCUGGCUGGCAUCGGCAUCGCCCCGCCUUAGAGGAAGCCUGUUUACCAGGCCAGGCAGAAGGGGCAGGACUCCCUGGAAGGUCAUCAGGAUCCGGGCAGGACUUCGAAGUGCAGGAUGCUGGGCUUCUGGAGCUUCCACAGUGGGUGCUGGUCUUCAGGCCUUUCUCAGGCACACAUGGGCUCAAUUUCUGACUUCCUACCUAACAUAACUGUGGACACCAAUCCAAGGACAAGACGCCCACUGGAGUGGAGGUCAGAAGACCUGAUUUCCCUAUCUGGCUUGCUCAUGAUAACACAAAAGAGUCCUCAGAGGGUCUGAUACCUAAUUUGUUAUCAGUAAUCAAGGAGCUGUUCUUGGGCUAAAACUGGAACAGGAGCGGGAGGACAAGGGCUGGAAGGUGAAAGCCUGGAGAUGGCCAGUCCCAAACUUGCAGAGGAUUAUUGAUAAGCCAAGGGGAGUAGAGCCGUUGAUGCAAGAGCAGAGGCCACGAUUCAAAGGAAUGAGGCCCGGAGUGGGCUAGACAGGGUCUAGAACAAAGGACAGAGUCAUUAUGAGAGGACCUAAGAAAGGUGCUGUCUAAGCCAAACAGAAACUGACAGAAGGGGCCUGAUAAUAAUCCGGUGGGCUUGAAGGCUCUGUCCGUUAUGAGGAACAAGCUUAUCGAUCUCUUCACACGGGGUACAUCCUAAGGGAGGUGUGAACCUCUUGGGGAAGGCACCCUGUUGUUGGGAGCCACUGUGCUGGUGUCCCUGUAUAGGCCUUUGUUUAGACUAACCUUCAACUGUGUUCCUGUAAGGAGGAUUCACUAGAAAGUUCCAUUUGUACAGCUCACUGCUAUGGUUAGCGCUUGGCCAUCUGGCUUCAGUGCUCUCUUUCCUGUACCUUGAUAAGCACAUCUGGUAGCUGUAAGACCUCGCUGUAACCCCCUUUGUCAAACUGAUACUGAUUCCUGUGAAAUUAUUCCUUUAAACUAUGUUGUAAGAUGACCCCUGCUUACCCUCGACUGUUACGGUCCUUGCCUUGUACUAUAUAAGCUACCUCCUUCUCCAAUAAAGUGAGAGCUUGAUCAGAGUACUGUCUUGGUCUCCCUUCUCGUGUCUGGUUGGUCUCUCCCUUCAGGUCUGCCCUCCUCGUGUCCUAGUAGAUUACCCCGCGGGCCGGGGCAAGUGGCGCCCAACGUGGGGCAUGAGGAACGGGAAUUGAGCUGAACGUCGCUGGAAAAGCUGGCUGUUUCAUUUAGGUCGCCGCCUCUUCUCAUAAGAGCCACCACAGAUGUUUGAUCUGUGAUACAGGCCCGGAGAAGGCGAGUGAAGACCCGCAUGGUGGCCACCGCGUCCUGACCCGUCCGUGAUACAGGCUACGAGGCAGCAAGCUGGCCCACGAAUUGGAGAAAGGAAAUGACCAUGACUCAGUCGCGAGGUAUUGGUCGGAGUCAGAGAUCAGCACAAAGUUCCAAGUUGCUGCAAUGGGAGGAUGAAGCAGGUAAUGCUGGAGCCUGUCGCCCCUAUAUUUUGGCUGCAUUACUUGUUAAUCUAUGGAGACGUGAUAUUCUAAUUCAAAUGGGGGCUUUAAUGCGUAGUCCAAAUAAGACUGUUACCACUAACAUACUUCAACAAGGUCAUCUGCCAGGUAAGGGUUUAGGCAAACAACAACAAAGCAUCACAUCUCCAGUUACUUACUUUAACUGUCAAUCAUGACCAGAGAGGCUUGGGUUUCCCUUGAUGGCUACUGGUCAGCCUGUGCCCCGUGCAAAAAAUAAAAUAAAAUAAAAAUGAGAUAAUCCCGUGUGGGUGGAUCAGUGGCCUUUACUGCAGGAAAAGAUAAAUGCUGCACAGAUAUUGGUGGAAGAACAAUUAACAGCGGGACAACUAGUUCCUUCUAAUUCUCCUUGGAAUAGUCCUAUUUUUGUUAUCAGAAAGAAAUCUGGGAGAUAGCGAUUGCUUCAAGGCCUUAGGGCUGUUAGUGCUACUGUGGAAAUGAUGGGGGCUUUACAACCAGGUUUACCAUUGCCUACUGCAAUUCCAAAGGACUCUUAUAUUGCAAUAAUAGAUUUAAAAGAUUAUUUUUAUACUAUACCUUUACACCCAGAAGAUUGUCCCCGAUUUGCUUUCCGUGUUCCACCAGUAAAUUUUAAAGAACCUAUGCAAAGAUGCCAAUGGAGGAUCUUACCUCAAAAAAUGGCUAAUAGCCCUACUUUGUGCCAACAAUUCAUUGAUGCUGCUCUGCAACAAAUUUGCAAAAAAUAUAGCAAUUUAUAUAUUGUACACCAUGUGGGUGAUAUUUUAAUAGCUGGACCCGAGGAAUUCUUGGUGAUGCAAUGUCUGACAGGAAUGAAAGAGCAACUAUCUGCUUUUGGUCUUAUCAUAGCCAGCCCCUGAGAAAAUGCAACUUCAAUAUCCUUAUCAAUAUCUAGGCUUCCAAUCGUACCCAUGAACAAUACUUCCACCUCACAAUUGGAUUCUUUACAGACUUUCAAUGAUUUUCAAAAACUUCUAGGGGGUAUUAAUUGGCCUUGUCCACAUCUGCACCUCACAACAGGAGACCUUAAACCUUUAUUCGAUAUCCUGAAGGGAGACAGUUCCCCUACCUCCCAAGGAGUGCUUACUCCCGCAGCAUGCCUAGCCUUGCAAAAGGUACAACAAGCCUUAUCUCAGAGCUGUGUUUCUUGCAUUGAUUGUAAUCAACCUUUAAUUCUUAUUGUUUUGAUUACAGAUUAUUUACCCACCACUCUGUUGUGGCAAGAGGCCCCUUUACUUUGGAUAUAUUUACAGGCUACCCUUCAAAAGAAUGUUGUACCAUAUUAUAAUGCAAUAGCUGAGAUUAUCGCUAAAGGGAGACUAAAAUGUACAAAAGAUAUUUGAAAUAGAGCUGACAUGUAUAUGUCAACCAACCAUAUACUAACAAACAGCUAAUAUGGCUCCUGUCUUUCACUGAAGGCUGGCCUCUUGCAUUAGCUUCUUUUUCAGGACAAGGUCGUAAUAACUAUCCAGCAGAUAAAGUGAUACAAUUUUUAUGACAUCAUUCCUGUGUAUUUCCACGAAAUGCAAGCUUUCAACCCUUAGAGAAUGCUGGCUUGAUAUUUAUAGAGGGUGCCAACACUGGUCAAGCUUCUGUAAUUUGUGAUGGUCACCGUACAGUUAUUAACACCUCUUUUUCAUCUCUACAGCUAGUUGAAUUAGCUGCUGUUGCACUUGCAUUGCAGUCUACUUUGGAUGUAGCGGUUAACAUAUACACCGAUAGCAAAUAUGUGUUCCUAUCGGUGCCUCGAUUGGAAACUUGUUCAUUCCUUCCUGGAUCCUCAGCUGCCUCUCCUUUGUGUUCUCGCAUUUGCACUGUCAUUCGGCAGUAUACCUGCCCUUUCUUUAUAGGUCCUAUUCGAGCACAUUCCAAUCUUCCUGGACCUUUGGUAGAUGGCAAUCGUGUGGCACAUUCUGCUCUAUGCAUAUAUUCUAUUGAUACAGCAACAGGAGAUCACGUUUUACAUCAUUUAAAUGCUCAUACGUUACGCUUAAAACAUAAUAUGACUCAAGAACAAGCUCGACAAAUUGUAACAUUCUGUUCUACUUGCUCCAUCCAGUUACCAGUACCUCACCUUCGAAUUAAUCCUCGCGGUUUAUUCCCCAAUCAACUAUCGCAAAUGGAUAUCACCCACUUCAUGGAAUUUGGUAAACAAAAAUAUAUACGUGUGUCUAUUGAUGCUUGUUCUGGAUUUAUGUUUGCUUCCUUACAUACAGGUGAAGCCACAAGAUGUGUUAUUACAAGCUUUUGCUUCCCUAGGAACUCCAAAGCAGAUUAAAACGGAUAAUGAACCUGCUUAUAUCUCUGCCUCUUUUAAAAAUCUUUGUGUAACUUUUUUAUAUCUCAUGUUACUGACAUUCCUUAUAAUCCUCAGGGUCGAGGCAUUGUUAAACGUACACAUAAUACUUUAAAGCAAUGCUUUAAUAAAAUUAAAAAAGGGGAGUUUGGGGUUCUUGCCCAUUCUCCUAACAAAUGGCUCUCACAUGCUUUAUUCAUUUUAAAUUUUUUCACAUUGGAUAAAGAUGGUCGUUUUGCAGCUGAUCAACACUGGCAUCCACACAGCUGCGAAAAGAGCAAUGGUGAAAUGGAGGGAUCCUAUCACCAAUCAAUCGAAUGGACCUGAUCCGGUACUGGUAUGGGACGCGGGCUCCUAAGGGAUGGGUAUUUUUAUGCAACCAAUUUGCUUUUACAUUGUUAGCCCCUGAUGAUUUUCACAACUGCCCAUUGGGCCGUGUGGCCCCAAUGCUUUAACAUCUGUAUUUCCAAAGACAGGACAGCGACGCUCAUUCCCUGAGAACUGUGAUGAUGAUGUCAUCGUAAUUGGAGACCUGCUUUCACCAUGGCUAUACAGCUAGUGGGAGUUCCUGGAUUGGCUUAUGGAAAUAAUCGUGGACUACGAAGGCUUACAUGUUUGGUGACCAAAACAAUCAAUCUUACUGCUACUGCGCUAUCCAGUAUAGCUGAAGAAUUGGAUCAAGUUCAUCCAGGAGUACACUGAAACCGAGCAGCUAUCGAUUAUUUGCUGUUAAACAAUCAUAUAAGCUGUAAAUCUGUACCAGGGGAAUGUUAUUUUAACAUUACGAACAAUGUGCCAUAUAUAGAGUCUGUUAUUGAUAAACUUAAGAGUAAAAUGCAACAUAUGUUUAUUACUAACCCACUAUUCAUUUGGAGGGUUUCAAUGGAUUCAUUGGUUAUCAAUGUUGGCUGGACCGCUACUGCUUUUCCUACUUUGUAUGGGAUGUUUUCCGUGUGUUCUGCAAUUUGUGCUAACCUCGCUGCAGUCUGUAUGGACUGACGUUCAUCCUUUAAAACUUUGUACCAAACCUCCUUUUGUAAUCAAAAAUAGUUGAUAUUUGGCUAUAUGUUUCAUCUCUCGCCUAAUGUCAGGCUGGUCCGAUGGUAGUGGGUUAUCAGAACUUAUCAGCAUUAGUGUCACUAAAGUUGGUAUACAACCCCCCACUGCUAAAUUUAACUGGCUUUAAAAAAAAUAUCGAUCAUUCUUCAACUGCCCUAUCCUUAUCAAACGAACAACAACAAGUAUUGCGGCAGGGUAUUCUAGAUAAUAGUGCAGCCGUUGAUUAUCUUCUCUUAUUACAUCACAAAAAUGCAAUCAAGUUAAGAAUAUGUUGUUUUAAUCUUACUGAUAACUCUCAUAGUAUUGCUAUUGAAAUCCAAAAAUGCACAGAACUUGCUUCUUACUUGACUCAAGACAAAGGGUCCAAAAGCUUAUUCAAUUGGCUUACAUCCUGGCUGCCAAAUUUCUCCUGGCUUAAAGAACUGUUUGUGGGGAUUGUAAUCUUCCUCAUAAGCCUCCUUACAGCCCGUCUUGUUGGCAGGUGUUUCGUGUAUUUUCUAACUAGGCCUUGGAAGUCCCUCAGAAGAUAAGACGGUGGGUAGUCAAUGACGGGUAAGAUGGGUUGCCGCACAUAGCAACCUAAGACAGGGAUUCAUCGAUGACGAUGGAUUCUGAUGACGGGUAAGAAUGUGCGGGUGGAACCCACAACCUAAGACAGGCACCAUCGUUUGCUUCAUUAUAAAAUAAAAUAAAAUUAAAAAAAAAAAAACAAACAGCACCGUUCAGAGUGCAGAGUUACAUUUAAUGGGCCUCCACCUAUCUUUACGUUGCUUCUGAUGCCUAGCUUUCUCUUCCUCCUGGUUUUGGUUAAAGCAGACCUUUGUGGCCCACACUAGAAGUCUACAGUCACAGGCGUAGUAGUGGUUCUGGUAGUGGUUCUUCUGUGAGGUAGACAAUGCCCCUGAGGAAAGCUGUGUCCUCACUUGAAAGCUUUCUCUCCCUUUGCGUGGUCUGAAAGGGAGGUUUUGCCUGUUUACCGUGCCCAAGGCGAAGUCAACCUAGCUGUGAAAUUAUAAUUUAAGCUCUCCUUUUGCCUAUGCUAUUAUCACAGAAAAUGGUAGCCAUCCCUUUUCUAAGAUCCAAAAGCCAAGUGGUGCCUCUUGGAGCGUCCUUCCAAAUACUCAGUAUCCCAUCUUGAAGAGACUAGAGAGAGGAGGGAGGGAGUCCCAGACUGCUUGCUGACAAUAGCAAUAGCAAAUGAAGACUUAGCAAGCGAUGUCACCCUUUAGAUAACCAGUUAGGAGAACAUUUAACAGGAGGUCCGAUGCCUCCUGUAAAUUUUAAGAAUACGUGUGUUUGGAAACAUCUCUUAAAUAUCUGACAUGAUGUGGCUUGUUGAAUCAGCAAACUCAAGCACAAACAUAUAAAAACAUUUUCAUUUCUUUCUACCAACAGAUUUAAAGCUUCUGAUACAGAGAUUCAGGUCACAGGAAUCAAAAUGUAUCUUUGAUUAAUUUUAGCAGUUUAAAUUUAUGAGCAAUCUGUUCUCUAUAAGCCAAUGAAAAUAAAGCUCUUAAGAAAUAUUCCCGUGUAGACAUACCAUAUGUGUAUACAUAUAACAUAACAUACAAGAUAGCACAAUAAAGCAGUUUCAGUAAUAGCUUU
Molecule: non-coding RNA, 8880 nt
Organism: Oryctolagus cuniculus (rabbit)
Lineage: Eukaryota; Metazoa; Chordata; Mammalia; Lagomorpha; Leporidae
Source: RefSeq, a predicted model, not a curated record